Molecule: ribosomal RNA, 556 nt
Filed under: uncultured bacterium
Lineage: Bacteria
Description: bacterial SSU rRNA
Rfam family: Bacterial small subunit ribosomal RNA
Source: RNAcentral
AGAUAAUAGAUACCCGGGUAGUCCACGCCCUAAACGAUGUCAACUGGUUGUUGGGUGGGUUUCUACUCAGUAAACGUAGCUAAACGCGUGAAAGUUGACCGCCUGGGGAGUACGGCCGCAAGGUUGAAACUCAAAGGAAUUGACGGGACCCGGCACAAGCGGUGGAUGAUGUGGUUUAAUUCGAUGCAACGCGAAAAACCUUAACCUACCCUUGACAUGCCAGGAAUGCUCCAGAGAUGGGGCAGUGCUCGAAAGAGAACCUGGACACAGGUGCUGCAUGGCCGUCGUCAGCUCGUGUCGUGAGAUGUUGGGUUAAGUCCCGCAACGAGCGCAACCCUUGCCAUUAGUUGCUACGAAAGGGCACUCUAAUGGGACUGCCGGUGACAAACCGGAGGAAGGUGGGGAUGACGUCAGGUCCUCAUGGCCCCUUAUGGGUAGGGCUACACACGGUCAUACAAUGGCCGGUACAGAGGGCUGCCAACCCGGCGAGGGGGUAGCCAAUCCCAGAAAAACCCGGUCGUAGUUCGGAUCGCAGUCUGCAACUCGACUGCGUGAA